GAUGAACGCGGCGGCGCGCCUAACACAUGCAAGUCGAACGAUUAAAGCACCUUCGGGUGUGUAUAAAGUGGCGAACGGCUGAGUAACACGUGGGCAACCUGCCCCUUUCAUUGGGAUAGCCACGGGAAACCGUGGAUAAUACCGAAUACUUCGAGACUUCCGCAUGGAAGACUCGAGAAAGCUCCGGCGGAGAGGGAUGGGCCCGCGGCCUGUUAGCUUGUUGGUGGGGUAACGGCCUACCAAGGCAAUGAUGGGUAGCUGGGUUGAGAGACCGACCAGCCAGAUUGGGACUGAGACACGGCCCAGACUCCUACGGGAGGCAGCAGUGGGGAAUCUUGCACAAUGGGCGAAAGCCUGAUGCAGCGACGCCGCGUGCGGGAUGAAGGCCUUCGGGUUGUAAACCGCUUUCAGCAGGGACGAGGCGAAAGUGACGGUACCUGCAGAAGAAGCCCCGGCUAACUACGUGCCAGCAGCCGCGGUAAUACGUAGGGGGCAAGCGUUAUCCGGAUUCAUUGGGCGUAAAGCGCUCGUAGGCGGUCUGUUAGGUCGGGAGUUAAAUCCGGGGGCUCAACCCCCGCUCGCUCUCGAUACCGGCAGACUUGAGUUUGGUAGGGGAAGGUGGAAUUCCUAGUGUAGCGGUGGAAUGCGCAGAUAUUAGGAAGAACACCAGUGGCGAAGGCGGCCUUCUGGGCCAUAACUGACGCUGAGGAGCGAAAGCUAGGGGAGCAAACAGG
RNAcentral lists this ribosomal RNA (734 nucleotides) under uncultured Atopobium sp. RNAcentral describes it as "bacterial SSU rRNA". It matches the Rfam family "Bacterial small subunit ribosomal RNA", at positions 28 to 776 of the family's 1533-position model. Lineage: Bacteria; Bacillati; Actinomycetota; Coriobacteriia; Coriobacteriales; Atopobiaceae. The record is from RNAcentral.